GUGGCCAUUUGGCCUGUUUUGAUUGGUAGAUAAAAAAUAUUUUUUUUUACAAACCCUAGAUCUCCAAAAUCUCCUUGACCCUAUUGCUUCCAGCCCUAGCCGCCUCUUCUGCUCUAUCUUCCACUCCCAAAAAAACCCUAGAUCUCCAAAAUCUCCUUGACCCUAUUGCUUCCGGCCCUAGCCGCCUCACUCCCCAUCGAUCCCUUCCUCCGUGCCUUCCCCUCAUCCCUACAUCCUCCCUCUUCUCUCCCCCAUCCCUUCCCCCUCCGGCGACCACAUGUUUAUGGAUCUCGGCUGGACAUCGGCACCUGCGCCUACAUGAGCCCAGAGCGGUCUGGAGUCUAGGGCUUACAGUGCUAGAGCUAAGGAUAUCAAUGGAGAUGAUAAAUGGGAGGUUGUCAAAUGGAAGGAUGUCUAAUGCCACCACCGUGUCUCCGGAAACGAAAGCUUCAAAGAAACACUGAUUCAUGAAGUUGAGUCUUCAGCUUGGAGAAUCCUUCAUUCAUGGUCUCAGUUUUCAAGCAUUGAGCUGAAAGAAGCCACAGCUACUGGCUCUUCCUCAUCCUCGCAUCGCACCCGGCCAAGAUCCGAUUCCUUCGCAUCACUAGAGAUUGGAAUCUCGAUCCAUCAACCAUGAAGGAGUCUCUCAAGUUUCUAGAGGAUCAGAAGCCCUUGACGCAUGCCAAGAUCCCGAUCAGCAUCCUCGCCCUGGAAGGUGAAUAGGACGAAGGCUGAGGAGUCGGCUGACAUGGUGGAAGGGAGUGAUGUUUGAAUCUCUUUCUCAAGAUUGUGAAGGAUAGAUACUGGAUUUCUCACUCUCAUGACGAUGGAGAACAAGGAAGAGGGAUUCACCAACCUCGAAGGUGAAAUAUCAAGUUGAUAUAUAUGAAUUGGAUAGGAUAUACACAUUAGCAUUUUGAAAAUUCAAAUCUUUGUCUGAUAAGUAUGAAAUUGAUAUGAAUUGAUAGGAUUUGUACCUUUUUCAUAUGCAAUCAUAUAUUUGAAAAUCCAAAACUUUGUUUAGAUUUGGAUUGGAUUCUGAUACAUAUAUAAAUUUAAUGGUAGGAAUUGAAUAGAAUUGACACGUUGGUAGCUCAGUGCAUUUUAGAUAAGAAUGGUAAUUAAUCUUUACAAGCCCAAUAAUUUUUUAUCUAUAGCAUUCAAUUGUUGGUAUAAAUGCAAUCCUAAUCCUAAUGUUAAUUGAUCUUACAUGGUCCCACCAUUGGAUGUAGUCAACUCAAUUUCUUGACAUGUGUAACUCAAUUCCUUGACAUGUAAUCUUAUCCUGACAUUGCAUUAAAAUUACUUUGAUUUCUCAAGUACAUGUACAUUAAUUAGAUUAGAUCAAAUAAAUCUCAACUGCCAUCCAUUGUUGCUUAUAAAACCAUCUCAAUGCAUUGUAACAAAGAUAACUCCCACUUUUGGCCCACACAUCUUAGACAUUGUUUGAAAGUUGGCUGAGGCUAUUCAAUAUUAGGUAAAUCUUUUAAUUAUGAUUUCUUUAUUAUUUGUUAAUUUUAAUACCUAACAUCCUUUAUGUUUAUUUUAUACACUUUUUUUUUAUUUUAUAAUAAUUUGAAAGCCCAUUUGAUUUUUUCCAUUGAGUUAUGGUUGUUUGAUACAACGUGGUGAUGGUCACAAAAAAAAAAGGGGCGAAAUUAGCAUUUCUUGCAGAACUCAACCAAGCAGAAUCAGAGGAUGUAUUCUUCAAGCAGGCCUGGCUUACAUAUUUUUGGAGAAGAGCGAAAGCCCAUUUGAAUUCAUUUUAAAGAGACUUUUGGAUAAACAUGGGUAGUACACUUUUGAUAAAAAAUCAGUUUGGUAUCUUUGAAAUUCAGUCCUUUUUGAUUUAUUUAAUUGAUUUUAAUUUUAUUCCCCAUUUGAAUUCAUUUGCUAGUGCCCUACUUUUGAAUAAACAUUGCCCACAAUUGUUGACUAUGUUGUAUACAAUAUAUAAUUUAUUG
Dioscorea cayenensis subsp. rotundata (Guinea yam) is the source of this 1964-nucleotide long non-coding RNA. RefSeq lists it as uncharacterized. Lineage: Eukaryota; Viridiplantae; Streptophyta; Magnoliopsida; Dioscoreales; Dioscoreaceae. The transcript is spliced from 4 exons. The record is from RefSeq and is a predicted model, not a curated record.